GCCCAGCACGGUGCAGUGGUUUGAGUGUUGGACUAUGACUCUGGAGACCAGGGUUCGAAUCCCUGCUUAGGCA
This 73-nucleotide transfer RNA is filed under the name Phrynosoma platyrhinos (Desert horned lizard). RNAcentral's name for it is "tRNA-OTHER". Lineage: Eukaryota; Metazoa; Chordata; Lepidosauria; Squamata; Phrynosomatidae. The record is from RNAcentral.